UGGGGAAUCUUGCGCAAUGGCCGAAAGGCUGACGCAGCGACGCCGCGUGUGGGAUGAAGCAUUUCGGUGUGUAAACCACUGUUGCCCGGGACGAACAGCUUCUUUCGAGGAGCCUGACGGUACCGGGUGAGGAAGCACCGGCUAACUCCGUGCCAGCAGCCGCGGUAAUACGGAGGGUGCGAGCGUUGUCCGGAAUCACUGGGCGUAAAGGGCGCGUAGGCGGCGCGAGUAGUCAACGGUGAAAGCCCGGGGCUCAACCCCGGGUCGGCCGUCGAUACUCUCGUGCUUGAGCACUGUAGAGGCAGGUGGAAUUCCGGGUGUAGCGGUGGAAUGCGUAGAGAUCCGGAAGAACACCGGUGGCGAAGGCGGCCUGCUGGGCAGUAGCUGACGCUGAAGAACGAAAGCUAGGGGAGCAAAC
RNAcentral lists this ribosomal RNA (418 nucleotides) under uncultured bacterium. RNAcentral's name for it is "bacterial SSU rRNA". It matches the Rfam family "Bacterial small subunit ribosomal RNA", at positions 355 to 773 of the family's 1533-position model. The record is from RNAcentral.